GGAUGUAAGGGUGAUCUGGCUGCGACAUCUGUCACCCCAUUGAUCGCCAGGGCUGAUUUGGCUGAUCUGGCUGGCUAGGCGGGUGUCCCCUCCCUCCCUCCCUCACCACUCCAUGUGCGUCCCUCCCGAAGCUGCACAGUCAGUCGAAGAGGAUGACCAUCCCCGCUAGAGGAGGAUCAGUCUUCAGUGAAGGGUAUACGAGUAGCUGUGCUCCCCUGCUAGAACCUCCAAACAAGCUCUCAAGGUCCAUUUGGGAAAUUAGCCAGCAGAUGGAGGAUCUCUGUCUCUCCCCCUUUCU
Unclassified non-coding RNA from Ochotona princeps (American pika), 298 nucleotides. Its record names the gene 7SK. It matches the Rfam family "7SK RNA". Rfam says of the family: 7SK was discovered as an abundant small nuclear RNA in the mid-70s but a possible function has only recently been suggested. Two independent studies have found that 7SK RNA binds the CDK9/cyclin T complex (known as elongation factor P-TEFb). P-TEFb activates transcription by phosphorylating the C-terminal domain of RNA polymerase II. Lineage: Eukaryota; Metazoa; Chordata; Mammalia; Lagomorpha; Ochotonidae. The record is from Ensembl.